This 253-nucleotide ribosomal RNA is filed under the name uncultured bacterium. RNAcentral's name for it is "partial 16S ribosomal RNA". It matches the Rfam family "Bacterial small subunit ribosomal RNA", at positions 524 to 776 of the family's 1533-position model. The record is from RNAcentral.
UACGUAGGGUGCAAGCGUUGUCCGGAAUUAUUGGGCGUAAAGAGCUCGUAGGCGGUUUGUCGCGUCGGGAGUGAAAUCCACUGGCUUAACUGGUGGCUUGCUUUCGAUACGGGCAGACUGGAGUUCGGCAGGGGAGACUGGAAUUCCUGGUGUAGCGGUGAAAUGCGCAGAUAUCAGGAGGAACACCGGUGGCGAAGGCGGGUCUCUGGGCCGAUACUGACGCUGAGGAGCGAAAGCGUGGGGAGCGAACAGG